GCUGGGCGUGGUGGGGGUCGCCUGUAAUCCCAGCUACUCGGGAGGCUGAGGUAGGAGAAUUGCUUGAACCCAGGAGAUGGAGGUUGCAGUGAGCUGAGAUCGUGCCACUGCACUCCACCCUGGGUGACAGAGCGAGACUCUGUCUCAA
RNAcentral lists this non-coding RNA (148 nucleotides) under Nomascus leucogenys (northern white-cheeked gibbon). Lineage: Eukaryota; Metazoa; Chordata; Mammalia; Primates; Hylobatidae. The record is from Rfam by way of RNAcentral.